GACGAACGCUGGCGGCGUGCUUAACACAUGCAAGUCGAACGGAAAGGCCCUGCUUUUGUGGGGUGCUCGAGUGGCGAACGGGUGAGUAACACGUGAGUAACCUGCCCUUGACUUUGGGAUAACUUCAGGAAACUGGGGCUAAUACCGGAUAGGAGCUCCUGCUGCAUGGUGGGGGUUGGAAAGUUUCGGCGGUUGGGGAUGGACUCGCGGCUUAUCAGCUUGUUGGUGGGGUAGUGGCUUACCAAGGCUUUGACGGGUAGCCGGCCUGGGAGGGUGACCGGCCACAUUGGGACUGAGGUACGGACCAGACUCCUACGGGAGGCAGCAGUGGGGAAUAUUGCACAAUGGGCGGAAGCCUGAUGCAGCAACGCCGCGUGCGGGAUGACGGCCUUCGGGUUGUAAACCGCUUUCGCCUGUGACGAAGCGUGAGUGACGGUAAUGGGUAAAGAAGCACCGGCUAACUACGUG
Molecule: ribosomal RNA, 468 nt
Filed under: uncultured bacterium
Lineage: Bacteria
Description: partial 16S ribosomal RNA
Rfam family: Bacterial small subunit ribosomal RNA
Source: RNAcentral